Small nuclear RNA from Lontra canadensis (Northern American river otter), 135 nucleotides. RefSeq annotates it as U4 spliceosomal RNA. The transcript has a single exon. NCBI's taxonomy places the organism in Eukaryota, Metazoa, Chordata, Mammalia, Carnivora, Mustelidae. The record is from RefSeq and is a predicted model, not a curated record.
AACUUUGCUCAGUGGCAGUAUCAUAGCCAAUGAGGUUUAUCCGAGGCGCAAUUAUUGCUAAUUAAAAACUUUUCCCGAUACCCCGAGACUUGAAAUAUAGUCAGCAUUGGCAAUUUUUGACAGUCUCUACGGAGA